Molecule: long non-coding RNA, 487 nt
Organism: Trifolium pratense (red clover)
Lineage: Eukaryota; Viridiplantae; Streptophyta; Magnoliopsida; Fabales; Fabaceae
Exons: 3
Source: RefSeq, a predicted model, not a curated record
UCAAUCCAUUCUGAAAGUAAAUGACAUUCAAGAGUUUAAAGGUGCUGCUACAAACAAAACAUGGUAUCCUGAAACAACAUGCCAAGAUAUUUGCUUGAAACUUUGUACGAAGUAAUUCAUGUCACCCCACCGGAACUAAUGAGAGUUCCAGCACGCAACAUGUCGAAUACAAACUCUGUCAUGCUACACUAAGUGAAUCCCUUGAGAUGGAAUAUGAAAAUCUCAAACACAAGAACAAUCUUUGGCAAAAAAGCAAUAUGUUGAGGCUUAAUUUCCUCUAUCAUUAUCUAGUAUCUACUCAAAGAAUGUUUGUGGCACUUAUGUAGGAACUGGUUAUUGACAAACUCAAAGGAUGUUAAUUUUUUACAAAGAAAUGCUGGCAUGCUGCUGAGUAGCUUUGUUAUGCUGUAUGGUUACUCAAAACUACUUUGAAUUCCUUUGUGUGUAAUGCUUUGAUAUCAUUAAUGGGAAGCAUGCUUACAUUACA